AAUCCGUGGUGAGGACAACGUUAAAUCAAAUUUUUAUAUCUUUCCCACGCUUCAUAUAUUGACUCAAAAUCAUUUCACUUGAAUUGAACAAUCUCACUCGUGAGU
This is a small nucleolar RNA of Carya illinoinensis, 105 nucleotides long. Lineage: Eukaryota; Viridiplantae; Streptophyta; Magnoliopsida; Fagales; Juglandaceae. The record is from RefSeq and is a predicted model, not a curated record.